This 1941-nucleotide long non-coding RNA is filed under the name Podarcis lilfordi (Lilford's wall lizard). The record is from RNAcentral. Lineage: Eukaryota; Metazoa; Chordata; Lepidosauria; Squamata; Lacertidae.
UCUCAGUAAUCUAAACAACGGCCCUGCAAGGCUGUCCAGUGUUAUAAUCCCCAUUCAUACGAAGAGUUGAGGUUGCAGGAAGAGGAGUUUGACUCACAUCUCACACUUUGACUGCUACACUACAUCAGUCCUUGCACUCCAGAUCCUGAAAACAGCUCUGUGAGUUGUCAGAGGACUGCCCACCAUCCUAUUCAAAACAAGGCAGCAUGGGCAGUAAGCCCUCGUCAGCAACCAUUGCCAGAGAUGUCUGUAUGGGGAACGGUGGGCUGAGCAUAACACACGGAGGCAGCUCAGAGGCAUCCCUGCUGGUCGCUCGCUCCAAGGGAGGUGACAUCCUACCGCAGGCUCUUUCUGUGAGAAUGUUUAGGGAGGCAGGAGAGGAUAUAUUCUUUUAUGAUAUGCUUCCUAACUUGCGUUGGCAAGUUCUAUAACUUAGCAGAGUUGUUAAACAAUCCCUCUUUGAAAUUAUACAGCAGUUAGCUAGUUGCAGGCUCGUCUGAGCCUCACUAUUUAGGAUUCCUGGUAAGAUCCCUUUUUCUAUCCCUCCUAAAAGAAUAGACACGACUAUCUGAUUAAAGUUAACAUAAAACUAGUUGACUUACAAUCAUCCAGUUCACGAUAAGAUCCCUGAAGGCAGACUUAAGUUACAUAACUAGAUAUAUCGACAUGAACUAUCCCAUAAGGGAAAUAAUCUCAAGUGACUGCAACUGAGCAGUCACUUCUUCCUAACUUGUAGGAACACAAAAAGGAGAAGAAGAAGAGCAGAACAUGGAGGCCGUGUGCUCCUCUGUCCAAGAACAGGCCACACCUGCAUUAAGUGCCAUGCAGAGGAAGUCUGUCCCAGCUCAGGAGGAACUAGCAAGUCUUCUCCUGAGUGACACAAGCAUUCCCCAGCAUGUGCAUUGUAGGAAUGUUGCAUUUGACUGCAAUACAAUUUUACACCCCACACCUUCGCUACCCAAUAAUCAUUUGCAAGCGUACUUCUUCCAAGGCUCAGUAUUUAAGAUUCUGAGCUUGAAAAACAAAACCCCUGAGAUUGAGGCAUCACCAGAGAAGCUUCCUCAUGUGCAUCUCACACAACAUUCUCAUCUCCAGUUGGGAUCACCUGAGACCUCAGAAAGAAAUCAUUGUUUUGGGGGAGAGUGGCGUGGAACCAUGCCUGAGUCAAAAGAUUACAGAGCAAACACAGCGCCCUAUUCAUGUUUCAUACGAAGUUGGUUUGUUCCCAUGAAUUGUACCAGCGAGCUUCUUCACAGAAUUUCACAUCCCCUUAUAAAGUCAUGUCCAGCGAUACCUUCAUGCCCAAGCAGUCCCCUGUCUCAGUUGCAAGCAAUCCCCUGGCCAGCUACCACUGGACAUCCUGCACCUUGUUUUCUUUUGCAAACCUCCCAGCCUCAGCAGUUCAAAUUCCAGCCUACACAUGCACUUAUGCGCACACACUUGUCAGGAACAUGUUGUCUUUUAUCCAGACCAGAUAACUGUCAGCAUUUAAAGGUGUAGUAGAAAGAUGAUAGAGAACAGGAUGGAAGAUGUUUAAGGGUCAAUCCUAGGUACACUUGGAGUGCCAUCUUCCCCCCAUCUGCUCAGUCCCGUGCAGAAUAUACCCAGGGAAGUGGAGUCAGGGGUCAGGACUGCAACAUUAUUUAUGCGUUGGGAUUCGGCUGCAGAACUGCAGAGUUUACUAAGCACACUUGCUGGGGGAAAGUCUACACUAGCGUCCAUCUGGCAUACUUUUGGGCAAACAUAUACAGGGUUUUAUUGCACGGUCUUCAGUAGUUUAGCCCUAAACUGAGGACGCCAAGAAUUUUGGUUUGCUCCUUGGCGUAUUGAGCUCCAAAUUGCUGCUUGACUUCUCAUGAAGCAAAGCUGCCACAAAGAACACUUGUCUCAAGGAAGACGGAGCUCAUGCCCACCUAACAAUAUGCUUGCCCUGACGAAGCU